This 873-nucleotide ribosomal RNA is filed under the name uncultured archaeon. Its description in RNAcentral is "bacterial SSU rRNA". It matches the Rfam family "Archaeal small subunit ribosomal RNA", at positions 4 to 882 of the family's 1478-position model. The record is from RNAcentral.
CUGGUUGAUCCUGCCAGAGGUUACUGCUAUCGAGGUUCGACUAAGCCAUGCGAGUCGAAUGUAGCAAUACAUGGCGUACUGCUCAGUAACACGUGGACAACCUGCCCUUAGGUCGGGUAUAAACCCGGGAAACUGGGUAUAAUCCCCGAUAGGUCUCGGCUGCUGGAAUGCAUCGAGAUUUAAAGCUCCGGCGCCUAAGGAUGGGUCUGCGGCCUAUCAGGUAGUAGUGGGUGUAGCGUACCUACUAGCCUACGACGGGUACGGGUUGUGAGAGCAAGAGCCCGGAGAUGGAUUCUGAGACACGAAUCCAGGCCCUACGGGGUGCAGUAGGCGCGAAAACUUUACAAUGCUGGCAACAGCGAUAAGGGAACCUCGAGUGCCAGGUUACAAAUCUGGCUGUCGAGAUGCCUAAAAAGCAUUUCAUAGCAAGGGCCGGGCAAGACCGGUGCCAGCCGCCGCGGUAACACCGGCGGCUCGAGUGGUAACCGUUAUUAUUGGGUCUAAAGGGUCUGUAACCGGCCGGAUAAGUCUCUUGAGAAAUCUGGCAGCUUAACUGUCAGGCUUUCAGGAGAUACUGUCUGGCUCGAGGCCGGGAGAGGUGAGAGGUACUUCAGGGGUAGGGGUGAAAUCUUGCAAUCCUUGAAGGACCACCAGUGGCGAAGGCGUCUCACCAGAACGGACCUGACGGCAAGGGACGAAAGCUAGGGGCACGAACCGGAUUAGAUACCCGGGUAGUCCUAGCCGUAAACGAUACUCGCUAGGUGUCGGCCACGGUGCGACCGUUGUCGGUGCCGUAGGGAAGCCGUGAAGCGAGCCACCUGGGAAGUACGGCCGCAAGGCUGAAACUUAAAGGAAUUGGCGGGGGAGCACCAC